AAUAGUUUUGUCGGUUGAAUUGAUGCAUUGGUUACAGCUUCAGUUAUAUACGAAACACCGUCAAUAACUCUUUGAGCAGUAUUCUGAGAUGCCAGUGAAGCAUUAGCCUGAAAUGAAAUGGACGAAGGCUGCAUCCUCAGGAUUUUUAUUUCCGUACCAAAACUGUCGACUUCUAUAUAUCUCACCACAGUGUGGACAUUCUAUCACGUAUCCAGACCACGCAUACUUGGCGAAUCCAUACCAGCUUGCAUCACUCUGGGUUAGCGUACGACUAGUGACAACGACUUCACUUCCGUUGCCAUGACACUUUUUACAAAUGUAGACCAAGUUUUCAUACUGAUGCUGGUAACGACAUCUGCAAUACAUUAUAUUGUUAAUUAUUUUGCAUAUUCAGAAUUCAUUUGCAAUCAGGUCAAAAUUAAUCAGUAUUCAUUGUUGUUUUUUGUUCCAUUUUGAAGAGUCCAGCAUUCAAAAAUAUUAGCUAGUACUUCUAUAGGAACCUAUCUAAAUUGAGAUUGUUCAUUAUGAAUUUGAUAUGAUCAGUAAUAACGGAAGUAUUUCAACCUGGAAUCACUAGCAUGGGGUUUGCCUUCACGCAGGUGUCCCAUACUGUUGAUGCAUCUACAAUCACAGCUCAAGCACUUGACAGUGCAAGUAAAGUACUGGUCAGGAAAUAGGAUGUUUGACAAGUUUUCAAUUUCACCAGAAAAUUUAUCAUUGAGUAUUUUAAGAGUGCCAUAGACCAGGUGAGGCCUCCUAGCAGAACGAACAGUCGUAUUAUCCAGCUCAUUUUUAAUGGCCCUCCUCAAGGGUUGAUAAUCUGUUGGCGGAUUUGGCGUUUCGACACCAACAUACUUUAUUGAGCUAAACGCUUCAAUUUCCAACCGCAUCUGAUCAAAA
Molecule: long non-coding RNA, 900 nt
Organism: Neodiprion fabricii
Lineage: Eukaryota; Metazoa; Arthropoda; Insecta; Hymenoptera; Diprionidae
Exons: 2
Source: RefSeq, a predicted model, not a curated record